GCGGGUGUGGCGGAACUGGUAGACGCAGGUCACCGACAAUGUCCGGGGCGCAAGCCUGUGGGAGUUCGAAUCUCCCCAUCCGCA
Molecule: transfer RNA, 84 nt
Filed under: Gemmatimonadales bacterium
Lineage: Bacteria; Pseudomonadati; Gemmatimonadota; Gemmatimonadia; Gemmatimonadales
Description: tRNA-Val
Rfam family: tRNA
About the family: Transfer RNA (tRNA) molecules are approximately 80 nucleotides in length. Their secondary structure includes four short double-helical elements and three loops (D, anti-codon, and T loops).
Source: RNAcentral